RNAcentral lists this ribosomal RNA (453 nucleotides) under uncultured Bacteroides sp. RNAcentral describes it as "partial 16S ribosomal RNA". It matches the Rfam family "Bacterial small subunit ribosomal RNA", at positions 341 to 792 of the family's 1533-position model. Lineage: Bacteria; Pseudomonadati; Bacteroidota; Bacteroidia; Bacteroidales; Bacteroidaceae. The record is from RNAcentral.
ACGGGAGGCAGCAGUGAGGAAUAUUGGUCAAUGGACGGAAGUCUGAACCAGCCAAGUCGCGUGAAGGAUGAAGGUAUUAUGUAUUGUAAACUUCUUUAGCAGUGGAGUAAUAAGGGGAUCGCGAUCCCUGAUGCAAGUACACUGAGAAUAAGGAUCGGCUAACUCCGUGCCAGCAGCCGCGGUAAUACGGAGGAUCCGAGCGUUAUCCGGAUUUAUUGGGUUUAAAGGGUGCGCAGGCGGCUUUUUAAGUCAGUGGUUAAAUCGUGACGCUCAACGUCAUCACGCCAUUGAUACUGGAGAGCUUGAUUGCGGUCGAGGUUUGCGGAAUUCGUUGUGUAGCGGUGAAAUGCAUAGAUAUGACGAAGAACUCCGAUUGCGAAGGCAGCUUACUGUCGCGUAACUGACGCUGAAGCUCGAAAGUGCGGGUAUCGAACAGGAUUAGAUACCCUGGUA